ACGGAAGGCAGCAGUGAGGAAUAUUGGUCAAUGGGCGGAAGCCUGAACCAGCCAAGUCGCGUGAAGGAUGAAGGUAUUAUGUAUUGUAAACUUCUUUAGACGUAGAGAAAUAAGAGGCUCGUGAGCCUUGAUGCUAGUAUACGUAGAAUAAGGAUCGGCUAACUCCGUGCCAGCAGCCGCGGUAAUACGGAGGAUCCGAGCGUUAUCCGGAUUUAUUGGGCUUAAAGGGUGCGCAGGCGGCCCUGUAAGUCAGCGGUUAAAUCGUGGAGCUCAACUCCAUCCCGCCGUUGAUACUGCAGGGCUUGAUUGCGGUCGAGGUUGGCGGAAUUCGCCGUGUAGCGGUGAAAUGCAUAGAUAUGGCGAAGAACUCCGAUUGCGUAGGCAGCUGACCAGGCCGUAAAUGACGCUCAUGCACGAAAGUGCGGGGAUCGAACAGGAUUAGAUACCCUGGUA
RNAcentral lists this ribosomal RNA (453 nucleotides) under uncultured Porphyromonadaceae bacterium. RNAcentral describes it as "partial 16S ribosomal RNA". It matches the Rfam family "Bacterial small subunit ribosomal RNA", at positions 341 to 792 of the family's 1533-position model. Lineage: Bacteria; Pseudomonadati; Bacteroidota; Bacteroidia; Bacteroidales; Porphyromonadaceae. The record is from RNAcentral.